This 215-nucleotide ribosomal RNA is filed under the name uncultured bacterium. RNAcentral's name for it is "partial 16S ribosomal RNA". It matches the Rfam family "Bacterial small subunit ribosomal RNA", at positions 15 to 220 of the family's 1533-position model. The record is from RNAcentral.
GAUCCUGGCUCAGGAUGAACGCUAGCUACAGGCUUAACACAUGCAAGUCGGGGGGAAACGAUAUUGGAAGCUUGCUUCCGAUAGGCGUCGACCGGCGCACGGGUGAGUAACGCGUAUCCAACCUGCCCACCACUUGGGGAUAACCUUGCGAAAGUAAGACUAAUACCCAAUGAUAUCUCUAGAAGACAUCUGAAGGAGAUUAAAGAUUUAUCGUG